This 372-nucleotide ribosomal RNA is filed under the name uncultured organism. Its description in RNAcentral is "partial 16S ribosomal RNA". It matches the Rfam family "Bacterial small subunit ribosomal RNA", at positions 527 to 896 of the family's 1533-position model. The record is from RNAcentral.
GUAGGUGGCAAGCGUUAUCCGGAAUUAUUGGGCGUAAAGCGCGCGCAGGCGGUUUCUUAAGUCUGAUGUGAAAGCCCACGGCUCAACCGUGGAGGGUCAUUGGAAACUGGGGAACUUGAGUGCAGAAGAGAAAAGCGGAAUUCCACGUGUAGCGGUGAAAUGCGUAGAGAUGUGGAGGAACACCAGUGGCGAAGGCGGCUUUUUGGUCUGUAACUGACGCUGAGGCGCGAAAGCGUGGGGAGCAAACAGGGAUUAGAUACCCUGGUAGUCCACGCCGUAAACGAUGAGUGCUAAGUGUUAGAGGGUUUCCGCCCCUUCAGUGCUGCAGCUAACGCAUUAAGCACUCCGCCUGGGAGUACGGUCGCAAGACUG